This 1152-nucleotide ribosomal RNA is filed under the name Triticum aestivum (bread wheat). RNAcentral describes it as "partial small subunit ribosomal RNA". Lineage: Eukaryota; Viridiplantae; Streptophyta; Magnoliopsida; Poales; Poaceae. The record is from RNAcentral.
AUGGCGAAGAUCGCCGCCGGCCUGGCUCUCAUCGCGCUGCUCGGCUGCACGGCGCGUACCUGCCAAGCAGGGUACGGCUAUCCCACCCCGGUCCCGUCCACGCCGAGCACACCUAGUCCUCCGCCGCCAUAUACCCCUAGCACACCCAGUCCUCCGCCACCCACCCCUGCAACACCCAGUCCCCCACCGCCAUACACCCCGAGCACACCUAGCCCUCCACCGCCCACCCCAGCUACCCCAACCGAAGGACUCGCGGUCGGCUACUACAAGAAGUCAUGCCCUCGCGCGGAAGACAUCGUAAGGGAAGUUGUGCGGGAUGCCAACGCCGGUAUCAUGGCUGGACUCAUACGUCUCUUCUUCCACGACUGCUUCGUCAGGGGUUGUGAUGCCUCCGUGCUUCUCGAUCAAGUGGACCCCAACAGCCCAACAGAGAAGUUUGGCAUCCCGAACCUGAGCCUGCGUGGCUUCGAGGUGAUCGAUGCCGCCAAGGCUAGAAUCGAGAAGGAGUGUGGGAGCGACGUCGUCUCGUGUGCUGAUGUUGUGGCCUUCGCCGGGCGCGAUGCCACCUACUUCCUAAGCAACAAGAAGGUCUACUUCGACAUGCCAGCUGGCCGUUACGAUGGACUUGUUUCCUUCAUUAAUGAGACACUCCCCAAUCUGCCACCACCCUUCGCCACCGUGGACCAGCUCAAGGCCAACUUCGCCUCCAAGGGGCUGACUGCUGAUGAGAUGGUCACACUCUCUGGUGCACACACAAUUGGAAUCUCCCAUUGCUCGUCCUUCACCUCAUCCUUCUCCGACCGCCUCAACCCAAGCACCUCUGACAUGGACCCCACGCUAAUGAGUUCUCUCCGCGAGCAAUGCAAGUCAGACACAGGAACUGACAACACCGUGGUGCAGGAUAUCAAGACCCCUAACAAGGUCGACAACAAAUACUACAAGAACGUGCUUAGCCACGAGGUGCUCUUCAGUUCGGAUGCCGCGCUCAUGAUGGCAGAUGAUACAAGUGCAGCGGUGCGUGCCAAUGCCAAGGACAAUGGUGUGUGGGAGGAGAAGUUCAAGGAAGCAAUGGUAAGGAUGGGCGCCAUCGACGUCAAGACCAAUCUCAAUGGUGAGAUCAGAAGGAAAUGUGGCGUCGUCAACUCACACUGA